RNAcentral lists this ribosomal RNA (445 nucleotides) under uncultured bacterium. Its description in RNAcentral is "partial 16S ribosomal RNA". It matches the Rfam family "Bacterial small subunit ribosomal RNA", at positions 354 to 796 of the family's 1533-position model. The record is from RNAcentral.
GUGAGGAAUAUUGGUCAAUGGGCGAGAGCCUGAACCAGCCAAAUCGCGUGAAGGAUGAAGGUAUUAUGUAUUGUAAACUUCUUUUAUCGGGGAAUAAAGUGCACCACGUGUGGUGUUUUGUAUGUACCCGAAGAAUAAGGAUCGGCUAACUCCGUGCCAGCAGCCGCGGUAAUACGGAGGAUCCAAGCGUUAUCCGGAUUUAUUGGGUUUAAAGGGUGCGUAGGCGGACUGUCAAGGCAGCGGUGAAAGUCCAUGGCUCAACCAUGGAAUUGCCGUUGAAACUGUCAGUCUUGAGUGUAGAUGAGGUAGGCGGAAUUCGUAGUGUAGCGGUGAAAUGCUUAGAUAUUACGAAGAACUCCAAUUGCGUAGGCAGCUUACCAGGCUACAACUGACGCUGAGGCACGAAGGUGCGGGGAUCAAACAGGAUUAGAUACCCUUGUAGUCC